RNAcentral lists this long non-coding RNA (1053 nucleotides) under Pan troglodytes (chimpanzee). Its description in RNAcentral is "long non-coding RNA NONPTRT012981". Lineage: Eukaryota; Metazoa; Chordata; Mammalia; Primates; Hominidae. The record is from RNAcentral.
AUGCCAUUUUUUCAAUGCAUCACUGUCAGUAAUAUCUGAAAAUGCUGGGAAGCAAGACAUCUGUCCCUCAAUAAAAAUAUGAAUAUUAUAAAAAGUAAGAUGCUCCUAUGUGCCUAUAUGGCAAGUUUGACAAGAUGAAUUGCUAAACGCAAAAUCAGGGUUUAGAACAAUGUGUAUAGGAUCCUAUUGCUGUCAAAAGCAAGGAGUUGGAAGAGAAAUAUAUAUUUGUAAUUGAUUGUGUACACUUUAGAAUGUCUUUUGAAGGAUCAUUAAAAUUUAAUAAAAAUUGUACACCAUUAUUUUUUUAAGUGUUUAUUCUUUUCUACUGCAAGGCAAGAGGUGAAUUGGUUGAAUGGGAUCCGCUAUAGGAGACAAGUAAUUUUCGCAAAUAAACUGGUUAUAUAGGACAGAGUGAAAAUGUUCUAUCUUCAUACUAGUUUAUAUAACUGAAAGUAAAUGUGGAUAAAAUUAUGAUCCUUAACCUUUUGUAAAAGAAGAGUACAAGGUCUGAUGAAAAUCUUUUUAAAAUCUUACCUAUGAUAAAUAAAGCAGAUGUUAAUUCCUUUUGGCUAGCUUUCAUCAGCAUAUAGUUUCUUCCCCUCAAUGAGAUAAAGCAAUGAUGAUUUGUUACAGCAUAUUUACCCUGUAAAUUGGUGUUUUGUUAAGGGUAAAUUUUUCAUUGUAUAGUUUAGGAAAACAGAAAAGGGGGUGAAAAGAAACCAACUUACACAUCAUAUCAGAAUAAGAUGAGUAAAAAGCAAAAGGAGAAGGUAGAACUUAAAAUCACAAUAAAUGUAGAAAUAGAUAGUAAAAUAAAGAAGACACAUUGUAAACUGUAUACUGAGAACUAGUGUUGGACUAACUAAAUUGGACACAGUGAAAUUCAGAUGAAUUCUCUAGUCUCAAUUGCAUGAUAAUGAGUAAAAAAAAAACCAUAAAAUUCAAAAUUAAGCCUAGAAUACUAACCAUUUCUCAGCGAAGAAACUCAGAAAAUGCACUUGAAUGUGAAUUAGAAGACUCACAUUAAAUAUCUUAGCAAGUAUUGACUAUGAC